This 86-nucleotide transfer RNA is filed under the name bacterium. RNAcentral describes it as "tRNA-Leu". It matches the Rfam family "tRNA". From Rfam's summary of the family: Transfer RNA (tRNA) molecules are approximately 80 nucleotides in length. Their secondary structure includes four short double-helical elements and three loops (D, anti-codon, and T loops). The record is from RNAcentral.
GCCCAGGUGGCGGAAUUGGUAGACGCGCAUGGUUGAGGGCCAUGUGCCCAUUAUUGGGCGUGAGGGUUCGAGUCCCUCCCUGGGCA